RNAcentral lists this long non-coding RNA (506 nucleotides) under Prunus persica (peach). Its description in RNAcentral is "long non-coding RNA (PPER_LNC001841)". The record is from RNAcentral. Lineage: Eukaryota; Viridiplantae; Streptophyta; Magnoliopsida; Rosales; Rosaceae.
UUUAUUUUAUUUACUGUAUGGUGUAGGUUUAUUACCCAUACAACAGUAUUUAUUUAAGAGGGUGGUGCGGGUUUAUCGCCCAUGCCUUUGCUUUUAUUUAAAUGUAUGGAGCAGAAUUAGUGCCCAUACAAGCACGUUUACUUUAUCGCAAAUUUACUUUUACUUAAAGUAUUAUUUAUGGUAUGGUGUAGGUUUAUUACCCAUACGGCAAUAUUUAUUUAAAGGGUGGUGCGGGUUUAUCGUCCACGCCUUUGCUUUUAUUUAAAUGUAUGGAGCAGAAUUAGUGCCCAUACAAGCACGUUUACUUUACCGCACAUUUAAUUUUAUUUAAGGUAUGGUGCGGGAUUAACGUCCAUACAGCAAGCGAUUUAAUUUAUUUAAGGUAUGAUGCGGGAUUAACGUCCAUACAGCCAGCAAUUUAAUUUAUGAAUUUAAUUUACUGCACAUUUACAUUUAUUUAAAAGGGUGGUGCGGGUUUAUCGUCCACGCCUUUACUUUCAUUUAAA